GACGAACGCUGGCGGCGUGCUUAACACAUGCAAGUCGAACGGAAAGGCCCUGCUUUUGUGGGGUGCUCGAGUGGCGAACGGGUGAGUAACACGUGAGUAACCUGCCCUUGACUUUGGGAUAACUUCAGGAAACUGGGGCUAAUACCGGAUAGGAGCUCCUGCUGCAUGGUGGGGGUUGGAACGUUUAGGCGGUUGGGGAUGGACUCUGGGCUUACCAGCUUGUUGGUUGGGGAGUGGCUUACCAAGGCUUUGGCGGGUAGCCGGCCUGGGAGGGGGGCCGGCCACAUUGGGACUGAGAUACGGCCCAGACGCCUACGGGAGGCAGCAGUGGGGAGUAUGGCACAAUGGGCGGAAGCCUGAUGCAGCAGCGCCGCGUGCGGGAUGACGGCCUUCGGGUUGUAAACCGCUUUAGCCUGUGACGAAGCGUGAGUGACGGUAAUGGGUAAAGAAGCACCGGCUAACUACGUG
Molecule: ribosomal RNA, 468 nt
Filed under: uncultured bacterium
Lineage: Bacteria
Description: partial 16S ribosomal RNA
Rfam family: Bacterial small subunit ribosomal RNA
Source: RNAcentral